This 75-nucleotide small RNA is filed under the name Caenispirillum bisanense. Its description in RNAcentral is "Makes More Granules Regulator RNA (mmgR)". It matches the Rfam family "Makes More Granules Regulator RNA (mmgR)". Rfam says of the family: SuhB later renamed mmgR (makes more granules regulator) was a putative non-coding RNA found multiple times in the Agrobacterium tumefaciens genome and related alpha-proteobacteria. Other non-coding RNAs uncovered in the same analysis include: speF, ybhL, metA, and serC. Several studies inSinorhizobium meliloti showed that suhB element is indeed a non-coding RNA:firstly it was detected on Northern blot and called Sm8RNA, secondly in an RNAseq study referred to as SmelC689. Lineage: Bacteria; Pseudomonadati; Pseudomonadota; Alphaproteobacteria; Rhodospirillales; Novispirillaceae. The record is from Rfam by way of RNAcentral.
ACCGUCUGCCUUUCUUGGACGUUUCCUCCCUAGACUUGGGCCGCGCUUCGUGCGCGGCCUUUUUUUGUCCGCGGC